This 76-nucleotide transfer RNA is filed under the name Listeria ivanovii. Its description in RNAcentral is "tRNA-Asp". It matches the Rfam family "tRNA". From Rfam's summary of the family: Transfer RNA (tRNA) molecules are approximately 80 nucleotides in length. Their secondary structure includes four short double-helical elements and three loops (D, anti-codon, and T loops). Lineage: Bacteria; Bacillati; Bacillota; Bacilli; Caryophanales; Listeriaceae. The record is from RNAcentral.
GGUUCCGUGGUGUAGGGGUUAACAUGCCUGCCUGUCACGCAGGAGAUCGCGGGUUCAAAUCCCGGCGGGACCGCCA